UUGAAGGCCAAAAACUCCGAGGCGAGC
RNAcentral lists this small RNA (27 nucleotides) under Bombyx mori (domestic silkworm). RNAcentral describes it as "ovarian small RNA-37631". The record is from RNAcentral. Lineage: Eukaryota; Metazoa; Arthropoda; Insecta; Lepidoptera; Bombycidae.